This 250-nucleotide ribosomal RNA is filed under the name uncultured bacterium. RNAcentral describes it as "partial 16S ribosomal RNA". It matches the Rfam family "Bacterial small subunit ribosomal RNA", at positions 524 to 773 of the family's 1533-position model. The record is from RNAcentral.
UACAGAGGGGGCAAGCGUUGUCCGGAAUUACUGGGCGUAAAGCGUACGCAGGUGGCGCAGGAAGUGUUGUGUGAAAGCCCCGCGCUUAACGCGGGGAGGCCACGACAGACUCCUGGGCUCGAGGAAUGUAGAGGGUCGUGGAAUUGCCGGUGUAGUGGUGAAAUGCGUAGAGAUCGGCAGGAACACCAAGGACGAAGGUAGCGACCUGGGCAUUUCCUGACACUCAUGUACGACAGCGUGGGGAGCGAAC